This 68-nucleotide transfer RNA is filed under the name Sphaerodactylus townsendi. Its description in RNAcentral is "tRNA-Thr". The record is from RNAcentral. Lineage: Eukaryota; Metazoa; Chordata; Lepidosauria; Squamata; Sphaerodactylidae.
GGGUGGCUCAGUGGUAGAGCCUCUGCUAAGUAUGCAGAAGGUGCCAGGUUCAAUCCCGGGCAUCUCCA